CCCCCCAUAUAUAACUAUCAUACCCCUACUCCUCACACUCGUCACCCUCAUCUCCCAUUCCCAGAGACCAAAAUCCUUAACCCUAAUCCGCCACCCCUUUUUCUACCACAUCCGCCAGGCGGUGCUACCUCCAAUCACCCCCAUCUUAACAUCCUAGAACCCCCUCACCUCCCUCUUCCAAAAUCUCUGACUAGUUUCCCUUGAAUCCCACCACAAAGGCUCAAAUGUUAAAUCUGAAUCGAAGAACCUAAUACCCUAAAACCCACAAAUCUACUCGAGUUCACCCUAAAUGACCUUCACCUAUUUCCCGUCCCAAACAUAUUCUUGCUUCCCGUCAAUUUAGCUCGUCAAUGGUCGAGCAGAGGUCAAGAGUGCCCUAGGCCUCGCCUUGUGUUUUUUUCUUUUUCUUUUUUGUUCAGAAAGGUUAAGUGAACCCAAACCGUCAUUAAUCAAAUGUCUUUUGUUUAGGACAAUCGAAUAAUGACCGUUAAAAUUCAUUUUCUUCUUCAAAAGGUUUAUUCGAGUGCAUGUGGGUUUUGUUGAGGCAAGUUGAGAUAAUUUCUUGGUGUCGAUUAGUUUCCGUUUGAUCUUCUAUUUUGUUUGUUUGUUUUCCAAUUUCUUUCUUCAGAAGAUCCAUUUCUUGUUUAAUUUCAUUACGUCUCUCGUUUUUAUAUUUAUUAGUUAACUUGUUCGCUAAAUCGUUAGUGACAAUCAGCUUCAUAGGGUUUGAGUGUAAUUUGUUUUCAAUUCAUGGGAUUUUCUUAUUUCUCUUAGGUUUCAUUUUUAUGUUUGAGAAUUAAUUCUAGAACUGAAGCAUUGAUAUUAGCCAAGUAUAGGUCAUCAUUUUAAUUAAUUCCUAUUUCAAAAGCAUUUUUGAGUUCAUGUGUGAAGGGUCUUAUGUUAAGUUCAGAUUAACUCUUCAUGUUUUAAUAUGAUUCAGUAAUUGUUUUGAAUUUCACUGGUUUUUAAUCCAGCCGAAAGUGCCAGCUCGUUUGCUUACUAUUUAUUGUGAUUGUUAGCAUUCGAAACUCAGGACGGGUAAGUGUAUAACUAGGAAAAUUUUAAGUGUAGCUUUGGGGAUUGGUUAUCUUGAAAUGGACAACUGCUCAAAAUUAUUAGGGAAAACAGGUUGCAAAUUGAAAAUAUCUUAAGGAAAUGGAUAGCUGUCAAAAAAUUAGUUUUAAAAGAUGCCCUGUGAGGGUAUUUUGGAAAAAUCUGAUUGAGUUGCCUUAGAAGGCACACAAUAGACUCCCAUACUUAUAAAUGAAGCCUUCCUUUCACUUAAUACACAAUUUUUUGCACCCUAGAGAGACUAAAAAGAUAAGAAGAAAUACUGAAUUUCAGAGUCAAUUAAUUUAAUUCUGAAAAUUCUCAGAAAAUUCUAAAAAUUAUUUGAGCUGGUUUUGAUUUCUUGGUUUUGGUUCUCUGAAUCUUUUGUUAAUCUAGAAUUUAUGAAAAACUUCCAAGAUUAUGCAUCUAGUUAGAGAAAUGGCUUAAGCUUUGGUUUGGAGUUGGUUUUUGAUUUCCUCUACUGUUCCGUUGAUUUCCUGAGCUGAUUUCACUGUUUCAUUGGCUGAAUUUGGGCUGAUUUCUGCUAUUGCUUGCUGCUGAUCGUUCACUUCUUUGGUUUUUCCCUUGUUCCUUACCAGUUAUUUUCCUUCAAACCAUGGAUGGAAAUGAAGCUUGUUAUGGCUGCUAUUUUGAAGUCGUAUAGUUCAAGUUGAAGAAACUGAUUGUUGUCCAUUCUUUAUUGAAUUACCAGUUUAAAAAUAUGUUAUAUUUUAUUUUCAUGUUUCUCCUAGACUCAUAUAUGUUAUAUAGCUUCUUCUAAUUAUCUUUUAGGUCCUGUUCCAGUGUUGUAUAAAGUUUCCUUUUCACUUGCUUAGUUUAAAUCCUAAAGGUUUUAUGAUCACCUGUAUAAGUGGUAGAGAACUAAUGCAAGGAGAUUUCAGUAGCAUCAAGUAUGUUUCAGGUCUAUUCUGGCCUGUUGAAGCCAGUGUUGUUGUGCAAAAGUGCUUAAAUUUGUUUUGAAAUUGAUGUCCCUAAAGUUUGAAAUCAGGAACUUUCAUGUUGAGGUUUGCAUUAGGUGAUGAACUUUAUAUGGUCUGCCUUAUCUUUGGUGAAAUCAGUUGUUUAACAUAGAUUUACACUUGAUAACAGGGGCAUGAAUGUAAGAUGGUUUUUUAAGCAUUUAAUGUUUCCUGCAUGUCAAGCUAUUCGACAUUGAUGAUUAGGUUCAUUUGGCAUAUCCUUUUGGCUUGUAUGUCCUUUUAUUUCACUUAGGCUUGAUUUUGGGUCUUCUGCCUUUAGUUUGCAUCUUUGUAAAGGUUGGGCCUCUUCUGUGCUUGAACGUUAAAGUUAAUGUGACACGAAAGGGGGUUUGCUUCCUUGGACGGUCCCGUGAUUCUCUACCUCAAGGAGGAGAUCUUCAGUAAAUUAUUGGGCCUGCUGCCAGGACCAGGGAUUUUUUUGGAAUAAAUAAAGGAUAUUGGACCUCUGAAUAACAAUCUGCGUUCAAACUUUAGUUUAUGCGUAGCUACAAUUUCACUAAAAUAUUCCUUAGUUAAUUAGUUGGGCUCUUAAAAAUAGAUUUGAGGUGAGUCAUAUUGAACAAAAGAAAUAGUUAUGGACCUCAAUAACUUAGUUUAGAUUCUGUUUAAAAUUAGAAUUUACGUGUGCUGUGCAAAAUAAAAUCUUAAAAUGCAUGCCUCUUGCAUAGAUUAAUAUUUUAAAUCCUUAGAAAUUUAGACAUGCCAUUUAGUUAAAUUCCCAUGGCCAUCACAAAUUUAAAAAUGCGUAGUUACUUUUGGUGCGUAAUUUAAAUCACAUUCCUAAACUCGGAUGUGGCUUUAUA
This 2854-nucleotide long non-coding RNA is filed under the name Nicotiana benthamiana. RNAcentral describes it as "long non-coding RNA (NBEN_LNC034242)". Lineage: Eukaryota; Viridiplantae; Streptophyta; Magnoliopsida; Solanales; Solanaceae. The record is from RNAcentral.